Molecule: long non-coding RNA, 1111 nt
Organism: Caretta caretta (loggerhead turtle)
Lineage: Eukaryota; Metazoa; Chordata; Testudines; Cheloniidae
Source: RefSeq, a predicted model, not a curated record
ACAGCAAGACCUGAGUCAGAAGAGUUGCCACUGCAACGGAGAGGUGCUGCUGCCGAAUUGCCGCCGGGGCUGCUGCUGGAGCGCCACCCCAAAAACAGCCGGCGUGCAGCCCCUUCAGCAGUGCCGCUCCAGGCACCAGCUUGCUUAGCUGGUGCCUAGAGCCGGCCCUGUGUAAGACAAUCAUUAUCUAGACUUCUUCAGAAAUGGCUUAGACAUGGAACCAUAAGUACCUCCGACAAGGCCUGUGGCAGUGGGAAAGAGGGGAGAAUAAAGGAGCAUGGAGCCUGCAGAGUUCUGCGCUAUUCUCAUGAAUGUUGCAAAUACAGGAUGCAUGAUUCUCCUGUAUUUACAGACCCACAGGAAGUACUGCAACAAUGGGGAACAUGUAGAUUUCUUCGCAGACAGUUUGCUGAGAAACAGAGAAAAAUAAUUCAAGGUUGUUGGUGGCAUUCACAGAGCAGCUGCAGACACAGGAGUGCUGCUUCUGGGGCCGAGAAAUGAGCACUAACUGGUGGAAUCACAUCAUAAUGCAGGUUUAGGAUGAUGAGCAGUGGUUGCAGCAUUUGCAUCCAAAAGGCCACAUUUUUAGAUCUGCGUGCCAAGCUUGUUCCAAUCCACCAGCAUAUGGAUACCAGAAUGAGAGAUCCAUUAACAAUGGAGAAGCAAGAGGUGAUCGCACUCUGGUAGCAAUCCUGUACUGAAAGCUUCCAGUCAGUGGGAAAUCAUUUUGGAGUUGGAAAAUCCUCAGCUACGGUGGAGGCCAUCACCAUGCAAGCAUGUAGGGCCAUUAACCAUCUCCUGCUAAUGCAGGCCUGUAACUCUCAGCAACAUGCAGAGAAUUGGGGGAGGGAUAGCUCAGUGGUUUGAGCAUUGGCCUGCUAAACCCAGGGCCAUUUAGGGAUCUGGGGCAAAAAUUGGGGAUUGGUCCUGCUUUGAGCAGGGAGUUGGACUAGAUGACCUCCUGAGGUCCCUUCCAACCCUGAUAUUCUAUGAAUAAUGGAUGGAUUUUCAAAAGUGGGGUUCCAGAACUGCAGUGGGGCAGCAGACUGCAUAGGCAUGUAUAUCCUUACUUGUGGCAGCAGCCCACUUUUCUACAGAGUAAACCAGGGGU